RNAcentral lists this ribosomal RNA (464 nucleotides) under uncultured bacterium. RNAcentral's name for it is "partial 16S ribosomal RNA". It matches the Rfam family "Bacterial small subunit ribosomal RNA", at positions 339 to 795 of the family's 1533-position model. The record is from RNAcentral.
CUACGGGAGGCACCAGUGAGGAAUUUUGCGCAAUGGGGGAAACCCUGACGCAGCAACGCCGCGUGAGCGAAGAAGGCCUUCGGGUCGUAAAGCUCUGUCAAGUGGGAAAAAAAUCUUUUAAUCAAUAGUCAAAAGACUUGAUGGUACCACUGGAGGAAGCACCGGCUAACUCCGUGCCAGCAGCCGCGGUAAUACGGAGGGUGCAAGCGUUGUUCGGAUUUACUGGGCGUAAAGAGCGUGUAGGCGGUUUAGCAAGUCAGAUGUGAAAGCCCUGGGCUCAACCCGGGAAGUGCAUUUGAAACUGCUUCACUAGAGUAUGGGAGAGGAGAUUGGAAUUCCUGGUGUAGAGGUGAAAUUCGUAGAUAUCAGGAGGAACACCCGUGGCGAAGGCGAUUCUCUGGACCAAUACUGACGCUGAGACGCGAAAGCGUGGGGAGCAAACAGGAUUAGAUACCCGUGUAGUC